Molecule: long non-coding RNA, 2197 nt
Organism: Oncorhynchus mykiss (rainbow trout)
Lineage: Eukaryota; Metazoa; Chordata; Actinopteri; Salmoniformes; Salmonidae
Source: Ensembl
CCAACUACAUUGAGAUUGGUUGAUUUGUCCGUCUCGCCUUCAGAGGCAUUAUUGGCUGGGAGCUCAGGGGCCAUCGUGGAGUCAGGCUUAUUUAUUGUGUUGGAGUUGGCGUUGUCUGGCUCUGUGGUUUCCUUGCUAGUUGCUGUCUCACUACGGGCAGACAGGGAGUUGAACUCUGGGUUGUUUAUUGGCAGAGAGCCGCCAUUGGCUCGUGGACCAUCACCACAUACCUCCCCCUGUGCUGCAUUGCUGCUUUUUCCAACUGUUGCUUGGCUGUGCUCAAUAAGCUGUUCAGCCUCCGGGAGACUUUUAAGCCUUUCAAAGGACCUAUUGAUGAAUUCCAGGUGCACAUCCUCAUCUUCGCUGCCCGAGAGGACAUUCCCCAAGCUAUCCACGCCCUACUUGCUGAGGCGGUGGGAUGGAAUAGGCCUGUGGGCCUCCCAUCUGAGGAAGUGUGAAGAUUGAAUCACCUUUGGCAGGGGCAGCAGUCCUGAACUCUUUCAUGAUUGUGACCACAAGAUGGCGAAGAAGAGCCAUAAAAUCUGAACGGAUUCACCGACAUCAGCCAAAAGUCAAUUAAGGUACGACCUGCAAUAUUUACUGCUGUUCAAUGGUGAUAUUAUAAUUCAAGAUGAAUGUAAUAUAAAUGCACAUGCGUGUGCUACAACUGAGCAUUAGCAGGCUACUGUCAUCACAACUCAUAACCCAUCAUUUAACCUUGGUUUUUACUUCAACAAUUUAGUGUUCAGUGUUAAACAAUAUGUUUAAAACAAUACCGUUGAUCUCAUGCACUGUCGGUAGUUGCAUCCAUAUCUCCGUCUAUGAAUUUGUGAGUGGUUACAUUUCUCCAGCUCCAUCCCUCAGCAUUAUAGAAAAACGUGGCUGCAGUUUGGCUUAAAUAUGAAGUCAGGAUUGUGAAUUUAACAUCAGAAUUCAUAUGUUUAACAUUUCAUCAAUAUUGAUCAUAACACACACAAAUCGGCCAGUAUGCCAUUUAAUGUUGGGUAUGGUUUUAUUGACUUUAAUUAGUGGGGGAGAUAGGUGAACAAAGUAGCACAUGGUCACUUGUAGCAACUAUACUGAAGAAAAAUAUAAAUGCAACAUGUAAAGUGUGUGGCCCAUGUUUCAUGAGCUGAAAUAAAAUAUACAAAACAUUUCCAAAAAGCUUAUUUCUCUCAAAUGUUGUGCACAAAUUUGUUUACAUCAGUGUUAGUGAGCAUUUAACCUUUGCCAAGAUAAUCCAUCCACCUGACAGGUGUGGAAUAUCAAGAAGCUGAUUAAAACACAUUACAGAGGUGCACCUUGUGCUGUGGACAAUAAAAUGUCAGUUUUGUCUCAAGUUUUGAGGGGGCAUGCAAUUGGCAUGCUGACUGCAGGAAUGUCCACCAGAGCUGUUUAUUUAUUAUUUUAAUUUCUCUACCAACGUCGUUUUAGAGAAUUUGGCAGUUCGUCGAACCGUCUCAGGGAAGCUCAUCUGUGUGCUCCCAGUCCUGACCAGGGUUUUGACCUGACUGCAGUUCGGCAUCAUAACUGACUUCUGUGUGCAAAUGCUUACUUUCAAUGGCACACUGGAGAGGUGUGCUCUUCACGGAUGAAUCCCGGUUUCAACUGUACCGGGAAGAUGGCAGACAGCGUGUAUGGCGUUGUGUGGACGAGUGGUUUGCUGAUGUCAACAUUGCGAACAGAGUGCCCCAUAGUAAUGGUGGGGUUAUGGUAUAGAUAGCAUAAGCUACGGACAAUGAACACAAUUGCAUUUUAUCAAUGGCAGUUGGAAUGCACAGAGAUACCGUAACGAGAUCCUGAGGCCCUUUGUCGUGCCAUUCAUCCGCCGCCAUCACCUCACAUUUCAGCAUGAUAAUGCAUGGCCCUGUACAUAAUUCCUGGAAGCUGAAAAUGUCCCUGUUCUUCCAUGGCCUGCAUACUCGCCAGACAUGUCACCCUUUGUGCAUGUCUGGGGAUGCUCUGGAUCGACGCGAACAACAGCGUGUUCCAGCAACUUCGCACAGCCAUUGAAAAGAAGUCUGACAACAUUCCACAGUCCACAACCAACAGCCUGAUCAACUCUAUACAAAGGAGAUUUGUUGUGCUGCAUGGUUGUUACACCAAAUACUGACUUGUUUUCUGAUCCACUCCCCUACCUUUUUUAAAAAAGGUAUCUGUGACCAAUAGAUGGAUAUCUGUAUUUCCAGUCCUGUGA